RNAcentral lists this ribosomal RNA (253 nucleotides) under uncultured bacterium. Its description in RNAcentral is "partial 16S ribosomal RNA". It matches the Rfam family "Bacterial small subunit ribosomal RNA", at positions 524 to 776 of the family's 1533-position model. The record is from RNAcentral.
GACAGAGGGUGCAAACGUUGCUCGGAAUCACUGGGCGUAAAGAGCGUGUAGGCGGUCAGGUAGGUCGGUUGUGAAAACUGGAGGCUCAACCUUCAGAGGUCGACCGAAACCCCCUGGCUAGAGUCCGGGAGAGGAGAGUGGAAUUCCUGGUGUAGCGGUGAAAUGCGCAGAUAUCAGGAAGAACACCCGUGGCGAAAGCGGCUCUCUGGAACGGUACUGACGCUGAGACGCGAAAGCGUGGGGAGCGAACAGG